AUGCUACAUUGCAAAAUCAAUCUAUUUUUUUUACCUUUAUCAAAUCAAAAUAAUUUAAAUUGCUACCAAUAAAUUAUGAAACUGGUUUUUAAUCAACGGCAUAUUCAACUGUCGUUUUAAAGUAAAACCUUUUUUGUGUGUUCAAUUGAUAAUAAUUACUGAUUUAACUUUAACUAUCCUUCAAUUGGUAAUGUGAAAUCAUUUUGACAAAAAAAUCAAUUAUCAAUUGACUUGGAAAUUAUGUUUACCAACAAAAUAUAAGCAAAAAUGAUCAAUUACUUACCUUUGUUGACCUUAUUUUGCUCUCUUCGGAUUUUCAAUUGAAUCUCUUCCAUCAAAGGCCAUCUUGUUGAUCUUUACCCAAAUAACGGACCCAUCUGUGGUCCAAUUGGUCUAGCGUUUUAAAUUGUAUCAACUGUUGUCCACUGGUUAUUGAUUAACUGGAGAUAUCAUUGGUUUGUUAACUGAUCACUUUGCUCGUCCAUUUAUUUUGGUUUGUUUGCAACUCGGAUUACACAAAAGGCUAACCAAUGGAUCAAGAUUGCGCUUGGAAAGGUUUAUUACCAACUUCAACUGAUUCUCUUUAUCCAACCAAUCCAAUGGCCAUUGUUGACGUUGAUGAUGAACAUUCAAUUGAACCAGAUUACCACUUAACGCCUGUCCAUGAACCUGUCGAAGAUGAGCCUAAAUAUGUUGUUAAACGUAACCGUGGUUCCACUGCUACAUAUCACCAACAGUCGAGUCCACCUUCAUCAACCUCUACUCCACCAUCUCAAACAACGUUACCAGCAAAUCCUUCCAUAAGAUCAACCACAACAACCCCUGUUACUAUGAUUGAUCCCAGUUAUACCAAUUACUCGUCAUCCGAUAAAGCAACGUUUAUACCAUGUAAUGGAAGUGGCGUUGGUGCCGAUGAAAGUAAUGGCAGUGCAAAAAGUGAUCGUUUUGACUUGGAUAAUGGUGGGACUACUAACACGGUUGGAUCACUUCCUACCCUUGGAUCAAGUAACCAUUCAGCUUACAAGUGUGGUAAACAAACUAAAAUAUUUCCCGGUCGUAUACGUAAACGUGUUGUCCUUAAAAAUGGGUCCGUUAAUCUGUCCAAAGAGCAUGUUGAAAAGCGUAGUCAACGCUAUCUUCAAGACACUUUUACUACCAUGGUUGAUAUUCAAUGGCGCUGGAAUCUCUUGGUCUUCUCUAUGGGCUUUCUUCUUAGUUGGCUUGGGUUUGCAGUUGUAUGGUACUUUAUAGCUUACGCUCACGGUGAUCUUGAGAGUGAAAUGGUUAACCAAAUUAGUGCUGAACCUAAUCCUAAUGUUAAUAAUCUUAAUAAUAACAAUGACAAUAAUAGUGUUAGUAACUCUAUUAAACCUUGUGUUCAAGGAGUUGAUUCGUUUACCUCAGCUUUUUUGUUUUCCAUUGAAACUCAACACACCAUUGGCUAUGGAAGUCGUUUACCAACCACCGAAUGUCCUGAAGCCCUACUUGCAAUAUGCGUUCAAGCCAUUACUGGAGUGAUGAUACAAUGUUUUGUGGUUGGUUUUGUGUUUGCCAAACUGUCUAGGCCCAAGAAACGGUCACAAACGUUAAUGUUUAGUCGAUCAUCUGUGAUUACCCUUCGUGAUGGUAAACUGUGUCUCAUGUUUCGCGUUGGUGAUGUCCGUAAUCGUUCUCACAUCAUUGGAUGUACCAUUUCAGCCUUGGUAAUUAAUCGAAAGGUUACCCUGGAAGGUGAAGUGAUACCCUUUUAUCACAACAAUUUAAAGGUUCGCUUUGACAACUCUGACUCCAACGUAUUCCUAGUCUGGCCAGCAACAAUUGUCCAUGAAGUAGAUAUUUAUAGUCCAUUUUAUGCUUUGUCAGCUGAUGAAUUGGCACGAGAAAAGUUUGAGAUUGUGGUAAUUUUAGAGGGAACCAUUGAAUCGACUGGUCAAUCAAUACAAGCAAGAACCUCUUACCUUCCUUGUGAAAUACUGUGGGGUCAUCGAUUUGAAUCCAUGGUAGCCUACAGACGGGACACGGGUCAAUAUCGAGUUGAUUAUUCCAAAUUUAACAACACUUAUGAGAUUGAGACACCAACUUGUUCAGCCAAAACCUAUUACGAGUACCAACGGUUUAUCCAGUGUUCAUCAGCUGCUCUUGGUGUGGUUGGACGAGGAGAGGGUAUAGUAACAGGUGGCGGUGGUGGUGGUGGAGGUAGUAGUGUUGCCUUACCUAUUGGCUCCGAGUCAGUAGGCUAUCAUCACAAUCCAUAUUAUAAUCACCAAUCUUCACAUCAUCACCAUGCCACUUCUUCAACUAAAUAUAAUGGACCAGUUACCACGGGAAACUUAUCAUCUUGUCUUUCAACUCGGGAAAUUGUCGAUGAAGAUGUAAUGGUGAUGAUGAUGAAAACCCAUUCUGGUGACUCUGGACUGGGACAUGGAAGUUAUGGGUUGCUUCCUUACUUUAAAGGCCCAAUACGUUUAGUCUCAAAAGACACCGAAGUGGCUGAUUAAUAAUAACUAAUUGUAUGUCUUUCGUUUCUCCUAUUUUUUUGCAUUUUUGUUUAACUUAGUUAAUGAUAUAUAUGAAAUAACCUUAUAAGCCUUGUUGAUUUUAAUUAUGCAUAAUCAUAAUAUAAUAAUAUAAAAAUAUUGGAAGAGUAGAGAUCCAGUGGAAAGUGAUGAUGAAUCUUGAUGGAUAUGGUCAUUGUUUUUAAAUUUACAAAAUGCUUUUUUUAAUGUCUCGCUACAAUCUGUGAUGUUUUUGAAACAAUCUGUUUCAAAUUCAAUGUUCAACUUUGUGAUCUUUUUAACCCAAACCAUUUUAAUCAAUGCUCUAAUCAAUAAGGUUUAAUUUUAUUGUUAACAAUCAAUUGAUAUGAGUAAACCUUCCCUAUUCACAAUUACCCUCAAUUUUCUCGUCACUUGAUUUGUAAUGUUUAAAUAUGCUUUGCUAUUCAUCUUUUUUUUUACUUAUUAGUUUAACCACAAUUACUGUACAAUAUGACAUCUUCAUCAUCAUCAAAAUCAUCAUUAUCAUCAUCAUCUCUGUCAUCCAUGAACAUUAUGAUGCCGACUUAAACAAUUUACAUAUUAUCAACCGGAUGAAUUUGUUGAUUAAAAAAUGUCCAUUUAUAUCAAUUAAAGGCUAAUUAGUGUCGACUUUUUGACUCAAAGCAUAAUAAACAGAAUUAGUUUUUAUCACAAUCAA
Tetranychus urticae (two-spotted spider mite) is the source of this 3195-nucleotide non-coding RNA. NCBI's taxonomy places the organism in Eukaryota, Metazoa, Arthropoda, Arachnida, Trombidiformes, Tetranychidae. The record is from RefSeq and is a predicted model, not a curated record.